Molecule: ribosomal RNA, 98 nt
Filed under: Zobellella denitrificans
Lineage: Bacteria; Pseudomonadati; Pseudomonadota; Gammaproteobacteria; Aeromonadales; Aeromonadaceae
Source: RNAcentral
UGUGGUCCCACCUGACCCCAUGCCGAACUCAGAAGUGAAACGCACCCGCGCCGAUGAUAGUGUGGCAGCUGCCAUGUGAAAGUAGGUCACUGCCAGGC